Carassius gibelio (silver crucian carp) is the source of this 543-nucleotide long non-coding RNA. RefSeq lists it as uncharacterized. The record is from RefSeq and is a predicted model, not a curated record. Lineage: Eukaryota; Metazoa; Chordata; Actinopteri; Cypriniformes; Cyprinidae. The transcript is spliced from 3 exons.
UUUUUUUUUUACCUGUACAUGAUGGAACCUGGUGAGGUGCUGGAUUACUCAGAGCAGAUUGAUUCAUGACUGUCUGAACUGGAAGUGUUUGAUUCUGUGGCUGGAGGCCUGCAGCUGGAGGAACCUGUCCAGGUCCUGCUGUCUGAGUUGUGGCACUGCAUUAACUGGAGCAGACAUAUUUAUGACGGGCUGAACUGGAGCAGCAGGAGGAGAAGCUGGAUCAGGACCUAAAUGAGAGUGAAAAACUUUCUAGAACCUGGAGAACAGUUUCAUAGACUGGUUCAGACUGAGUCAAACCUGGCUGAACUGGAGGCGGUUGAUCAUUUGUCUGGGGUCCUGGGGCUGGAGGAGCCGUUGCAGGACCUUCUGACUGAGGCAUGGGAUUUGGAAGCUCAUUUUGGGGUGGACAACCUAUUUAAUAAAGAGAGAGAGAAAACUCAGUAAUAAAAACACAGCACUUUUUAGUUUUGAUUUACUAUAACUGUAACUGUGCAUGUGUGACCAGACCAAAUUUGAAAAUAAUAAACUUUAUUGUUAUGGGAA